AUCUUGGGAGGCUGGUGGUUCAGAAUCUACAAGUGAGCUGAUUAAGCUUGGUGACACAGCUUAUUUGUUCUCUCUGAGAAAUGAAGUGUUACCAUCAGGAAGAAAAGUCCCAAAAAAGGCUGCAGGAUCUGAAGUACGUGCAACUUUUAGAGAAUCAUUUGGUCUAUCCUCCAGUGGAAAAAACACUCUUAUUUCAGAAAGACCAGCAAAAUCUGCACAAUUGUCUGAAGAGCAGUUGAGUUCCAGUGCUAAGAAGCUUGGGGAUCCAAUCCGUCCAGCAAUUGCUUUGCAGCCCCCCUACCAGCCUUCCAUCAGUGGAGUUUCUUAUCUAGCUGAAAGAAACAAUAUCACAGGAGACAGGGAUUCCUCACCGCCUUUAUUUCCACUUAAACCUCAAGAACUGCCACCUACUGUUGUAAGUGUGAUAUUUCCUUUGUUUUCAUUUAACUGUCAUCAUUCAAUGGCAUUGUAUAUU
RNAcentral lists this long non-coding RNA (475 nucleotides) under Naja naja (Indian cobra). RNAcentral's name for it is "lncRNA (ENSNNAG00000008352.1)". The record is from RNAcentral. Lineage: Eukaryota; Metazoa; Chordata; Lepidosauria; Squamata; Elapidae.